GAUAGAUGGAUUUGUAAACCCCGGAGCGAGAUUCUGCCUGCCGAAGUCGCUGCUGUGUGGAGACCAUCAGGGUGAAGCCCCUGCCACCAUGUCUGACCAGGAGGCAAAACCUUUGACUGAGGAUUUGGGAGAUAAGAAAGAAGGAGAAUACAUCAAAUUCAAAGUCAUUGGACAGGAUAGCAGUGAGAUUCACUUCAAGGUGAAAAUGACAACACAUCUCAAGAAACUCAAAGUAUCAUAUUGUCAAAGACAGGGAGUUCCAAUGAAUUCACUCAGGUUUCUCUCUGAAGGUCAGAGUAUUGCUGAUAAUCACAGUCCAAAAGAACUGGGAAUGGAGGAAGAAGAUGUGAUUGAAGUUUAUCAGGAACAAACGGGGGGUCAUUCAACAGUUUAGUUUUAAAAUCUGAGGGUCUUGACCAAAAGAAGAGAAAUAUCAGGUUGGAGUCAUGAUGACAUACGUUGAGAGGAAUGACUAACUCCAAAGAUGGCUUCACUGAAAAGAUAAAGCAUUUUAAGAUUAAAAUAAAAUUCUUGCCAGAAGAUCCCAGAAAAGUUCUACAUUUCAUUAGCAAUUAAUAAAGUUAUUCAUGCAGAAGUGUAUACAACAGAACACUGCUCUUUUUGAUUUUAUUUGUAAUUUUUGACCUGGGAUAUGGGUUUUAAAUGGGCAUUGUCUGUAUCACCUUCAUUAAAAUAAACAAAAUAUUUUUACAAA
Non-coding RNA from Orycteropus afer afer, 715 nucleotides. The record is from RefSeq and is a predicted model, not a curated record. Lineage: Eukaryota; Metazoa; Chordata; Mammalia; Tubulidentata; Orycteropodidae.